UCCCGGCAGUCCAAGUCGCAGCCACAAUUAUUGGGUCUAAAACAUCCGUAGCUUGCUUUGUAAGUCUCUUGUGAAAUUCUGUCUCUUAAGGGCAGAGAUUGCAAGAGAUACUGCAGAGCUAGAGACUGGGGGACGUAAGGAGUACAUUCGAGGUAGUGGUAAAAUACGUUAAUCUCGAGUGGACUAACACCAGCGAAGGCACCUUACGAUAACAGUUCUGACAGUGAGGGAUGAAGGCUAGGGGCGCAAAAUG
This 253-nucleotide ribosomal RNA is filed under the name uncultured archaeon. RNAcentral's name for it is "partial 16S ribosomal RNA". It matches the Rfam family "Archaeal small subunit ribosomal RNA", at positions 474 to 726 of the family's 1478-position model. The record is from RNAcentral.